Molecule: non-coding RNA, 284 nt
Organism: Paramuricea clavata
Lineage: Eukaryota; Metazoa; Cnidaria; Anthozoa; Malacalcyonacea; Plexauridae
Source: the annotation of a GenBank genome assembly
CUAGUGUAUAUAAAAUAUAUAUGGUUAGGAAUAACACCGAAAAUACAAAAUAUGUAUGGUGUGCUGUAAAGCGUACGAUAAGUCCUAUUGAUCUACUGUAAGCCCUUUCGAUACAAUGAAAUUGUAAAUUUGUAUUCUUAACAAUUUUGAAUAGAUACUGAUUUCAAAUGACUAAAGCCAUGUUAUAAUUAUCAGUGCAACUGUUAGGAAGUGCGAAAUUUUUGAACGGAGGACGAAAAUCCUAAAGAAAAGGUGAAGUUUCUAAAUCAUGGGGGCGAAUUUCC